CUGGCGGCGUGCCUACACAUGCAAGUCGAACGAGAAAGUGGAGCAAUCCAUGAGUAAAGUGGCGACCGGGUGAGUAACACGUGACUAACCUACCUCCGAGUGGGGAAUAACUCCGGGAAACCGGGGCUAAUACCGCAUAACACUGCAAAGUCAAAGCAGCAAUGCGCUUGGAGAGGGGGUCGCGGCUGAUUAGCUACUUGGCGGGGUAACGGCCCACCAAGGCGAAGAUCGGUAUCCGGCCUGAGAGGGCGCACGGACACACUGGAACUGAAACACGGUCCAGACUCCUACGGGAGGCAGCAGUGGGGAAUUUUGCGCAAUGGGGGAAACCCUGACGCAGCAACGCCGCGUGGAGGAUGAAGCCCUUUGGGGCGUAAACUCCUUUCGACUCGGAAGAUAAUGACGGUACGAGUGGAAGAAGCACCGGCUAACUCUGUGCCAGCAGUCGCGGUAAUACAGAGGGCGCGAGCGUUGUUCGGAAUUAUUGGGCGUAAAGGGCGCGUAGGCGGUGCCAUAAGUCAGCUGUGAAAACUCUGGGCUUAACUCAGAGCCUGCAGGCGAUACUGUGGUGCUGGAGUAU
Molecule: ribosomal RNA, 580 nt
Filed under: uncultured bacterium
Lineage: Bacteria
Description: bacterial SSU rRNA
Rfam family: Bacterial small subunit ribosomal RNA
Source: RNAcentral